GACAGAGGGUGCAAACGUUGUUCGGAAUUACUGGGCGUAAAGCGCGUGUAGGCGGCAGGGCAAGUCGGAUGUGAAAUCCCGUGGCUCAACCACGGAAGUGCACCCGAAACUGCCCAGCUAGAGUCUCGGAGAGGAAGGUGGAGUGCUUGGUGUAGAGGUGAAAUUCGUAGAUAUCAAGCGGAACACCGGUGGCGAAGGCGGCCUUCUGGACGAUGACUGACGCUGAGACGCGAAAGCGUGGGGAGCAAACAGG
Molecule: ribosomal RNA, 253 nt
Filed under: uncultured bacterium
Lineage: Bacteria
Description: partial 16S ribosomal RNA
Rfam family: Bacterial small subunit ribosomal RNA
Source: RNAcentral